CGAUGAUGGAGGAGCUUGCUCUUCCUGAUUAGUGGCGCACGGGUGAGUAUACCAUAGAUAAUGUACCCCUUAGUUUGGGAUAGCCACUGGAAACGGUGAUUAAUACCAGAUACUCCUUCUUGUCACAGGGCGAGUCGGGAAAGUUUUUUCGCUAAGGGAUCAGUCUAUGUCCUAUCAGCUAGUUGGUGAGGUAAUGGCUCACCAAGGCUAUGACGGGUAUCUGGUUUGAGAGGAUGAUCAGACACACUGGAACUGAGACACGGUCCAGACUCCUACGGGAGGCAGCAGUGAGGAAUAUUGCACAAUGGAGGAAACUCUGAUGCAGCAACGCCGCGUGGAGGAUGACGCAUUUCGGUGUGUAAACUCCUUUUAAGAGGGAAGAUAAUGACGGUACCUCUUGAAUAAGCACCGGCUAACUCCGUGCCAGCAGCCGCGGUAAUACGGAGGGUGCAAGCGUUACUCGAAAUCACUGGGCGUAAAGGGUGCGUAGGCUGACUUUUAAGUCAGGUGUGAAAUCCAAUGGCUUAACCAUUGAACUGCACUUGAAACUGGGAGUCUAGAGUUCAGAAGGGGCAGAUGGAAUUAGUGGUGUAGGGGUAAAAUCCGUAGAUAUCACUAGGAAUAUCAAAAGCGAAGGCGAUCUGCUGGGAUGAUACUGACGCUGAGGCACGAAAGCGUGUGGAGCAAACAGGAUUAGAUACCCUGGUAGUCCACGCCCUAAACGAUGAAUGCUAGUCGUCGGGGAGCUCGUCUCUUCGGUGAUGCACUUAACAGAUUAAGCAUUCCGCCUGGGGAGUACGG
Molecule: ribosomal RNA, 801 nt
Filed under: uncultured bacterium
Lineage: Bacteria
Description: bacterial SSU rRNA
Rfam family: Bacterial small subunit ribosomal RNA
Source: RNAcentral